Molecule: ribosomal RNA, 253 nt
Filed under: uncultured bacterium
Lineage: Bacteria
Description: partial 16S ribosomal RNA
Rfam family: Bacterial small subunit ribosomal RNA
Source: RNAcentral
UACGUAGGGCGCGAGCGUUGUCCGGAAUUAUUGGGCGUAAAGAGCUCGUAGGCGGCUUGUCGCGUCUGUCGUGAAAGCCCACGGCUUAACCGUGGGUUUGCGGUGGAUACGGGCAGGCUAGAGGCAGGUAGGGGAGCAUGGAAUUCCCGGUGUAGCGGUGAAAUGCGCAGAUAUCGGGAGGAACACCGGUGGCGAAGGCGGUGCUCUGGGCCUGUUCUGACGCUGAGGAGCGAAAGCGUGGGGAGCGAACAGG